This is a long non-coding RNA of Oncorhynchus nerka (sockeye salmon), 699 nucleotides long. RefSeq lists it as uncharacterized. NCBI's taxonomy places the organism in Eukaryota, Metazoa, Chordata, Actinopteri, Salmoniformes, Salmonidae. The record is from RefSeq and is a predicted model, not a curated record. The transcript has 2 exons.
GCAUAGUCAAUAGGCAUAUGCGGUGAUAAGUGUAUUGGGCCUACAGCACAAACCUCAUUGCUUCAUAACUGUUUUUAAUUGCUUAACGUUGCAUAAGCUUCCGUUUUACAAGUCACGAUAAAAAUACAAAUCUGAGCAGUAGAUCUCGGUUUGCAUUCGACUCAGAAAGAUAUCUUGACUCAAAAAGAUUGGUGACCAUUGCUAUAGGCUAUACAAUUGUGGGAGAAAACAAUGUUUUGAUGGCCUCUUAAUAAGAAGAGGACACCAUCAGCUUUCUAUAGGACAAUGACCCAACACACCUCCAGACUGCGUAAGGGCUAUUUGACCAAGGAGAGAGAUGGAGUGCUGCAUCAGAUGACCUGACCUCCACAAUCACCCGACCUCAACCCAAUUGAGAUGGUUUGGGAUGAGUUGGACUGCAGAGUGAAGGGAAAGCAGCCAACAAGUGCUCAGCAUAUGUGGGAACUCCCUGAAAAAUGUUGGAAAAGCAUUCCUCAUGAAGCUGGUUGAGAGAAUGCCAAGAGUGUGCAAAGCUGUCAUCAAGGCAAAGGGUGGCUACUUUGAUGAAUAUAAAAUAUAUUUAGAUUUGAAUUUUUUUUUGGUUAGUACAUGAUUCCAUGUGCUAUUUCACAGUUGAUGUCUUCACUAUUAUUCUACAAUUAAAAAAAUAGUACAAAUAAAGAAAAACCCUUGAAUGAG